AACGCACCUUGCGCUCCUUGGUAUUCCGAGGAGCAUGCCUGUUUGAGUGUCAUUAAAUUCUCAACUAUACAAGUUUUUGAAACUUGUAUGGCUUGGAUCUUGGGAUUUGCGGGCUUUCACAAGUCGGCUAUCCUUAAAUGCAUUAGCAGAGCUUUUGCCGCUAACCUCUGGUGUGAUAAUUAUCUACGCCAUUGAGUUGCGACAUAUUGAGGCUUAGCUUCUAAUCGUCCGCACGGACAACAUUUGACAAUCUGACCUCAAAUCAGGUAGGACUACCCGCUGAACUUAA
Molecule: unclassified non-coding RNA, 289 nt
Filed under: uncultured Agaricales
Lineage: Eukaryota; Fungi; Basidiomycota; Agaricomycetes; Agaricales
Description: sequence contains 5.8S rRNA gene, ITS2, 28S rRNA gene
Rfam family: 5.8S ribosomal RNA (bases 1-52)
Source: RNAcentral